UGUCCAACACUGUCCCUCUCGCACAUCUGAGCUGUUCACUGAUUCAUCACUUUUAUCUAAAGUACCGUUCAAUGAAUUUAAACUAAAUAUCAAAAAGAGCAGGUCGUGGUUUAGAGAUUCUUGUUCAAGAGACUGCGGACAUUAGAGUGGGAUCCAGAACGUUCUGGAAGGGAUUCAUGUAAACUCAACGAAACGACUCACUCGUUCAUAACUUUUGAAGGCACAGUUCCCUUUCACCGAACGGACAGAACCGCAAAAUCACAGCGGAGAUUGUGUAACGGCGGCUGGGUGUGUCGUUAGUUUAACGAGGUAAAUGGAUCCUCGUCCGCAGCCAGGCUAACGCCGCGUUCACACUGCACACGUCCGUCGACGGAUCUCAUCGACCUUGCAUGGGGACGGUUGAAAUGCAUUGUGGGUCGAUCCGUUCCGUCGGCUCCGUGGCCCGCGUCACAAAGUUGACGCCAGGUGUGUCUCUCUCCGGACAGGAAGCUGCAGUCCAAGAACACGACUGUCCACCAACGGGACGAGCUCUGCAGGCGGCCGCUAAGGCCCGCCCCCGACCCCCCGCAGAACGCAGGACCCCCCCCCCGCCGCCGACGGCCCCCCCGGGAGGAAGAGGAACAAGGCGAGCUGUGAGCCCACGGAGCGCGCCCGGACCCCUCCCACCCCCACCACCUCCACCACGGGCCCCGCGGAGCCCAAGAGGAUGAAGCUCGCUGGCGCCCCCACCGGGAGUGUCCCUGAGCCUUCAGCCUCCAACUGUGUCAUCCUGUGAUGGACGAGGUCAGAGGUCAGAGGUCAGGAGAAUCCCAAGGUCAUGUGACGCGGGUCAAAUCAACAAUUAUAUAUCAAUUUAUUUUUUAAUCUUUUUCGCCAUAUUCAAUUAUUUUAUAUGGAAACAUUAUAUUGCCAAAGACAAAAGUCUUAUCCAAUUGAUUUUGGAGACCUUUGCAUCGCUACUAUGACGAUUAUUAUUUUGAUUAUUAUUAUAACUACUACUACUAAAGCUUCAGCUGUGCGUCCCAUGUGCAAUAGAGCACAUUUGUGUGCUUUCGAGAGGACGCCGGGAAAUCGAUUAUUGAUGACUGAAAGAAAAAAAGAAGUGAAAUUGAUUAUCUUGAGUAAAGCGAGCUGCUUUUAACCGAAUGGGUGCAUGUUUACCAGCUGCACCUCAUUCCACCACCGCAAUGUGAUUAUACUAAUCUAUUAUGUGAUUAUUUUAUGCUACUGUAAAUACACCAAUCCUUGGAUAAACCUGACAGUUUAUCCUUCGACGUAUCCCGUCGCUUUUUUAUCUUUUUUUAAUCAUGACGUGAUUUUUGCCUUUCUGAUUAGGCUCUGUGUUUUAUACCGAAUUUCGGAUUUUUGUUAGUUUUUCUAUGCUGCUAUCUGUUACACUGGUCAAAAAAUAACAUUCCUACUGCCAUUUAUCAAUAAAACUCAAUUCUAAAUG
Molecule: long non-coding RNA, 1453 nt
Organism: Gadus macrocephalus (Pacific cod)
Lineage: Eukaryota; Metazoa; Chordata; Actinopteri; Gadiformes; Gadidae
Exons: 3
Source: RefSeq, a predicted model, not a curated record